GGCGGCGGAAAAACCACCUUAAUUGGGGCGGAGGGUUAGUUUUAACAGCAAAGGGCCUUUACUAAAAUGGCGAAGGCCUUCCGUCGGCGUUGUUUUAAAAUGGGAAGCCUCGACCCUGUAUUGAAACUGAGCUGUUCGAAGGCGGCGUUGUGUGCAAUUCGGAUUAAUGAAGGGGAAGGGUUUUGUGUGGAAAAACGCCUUGGAGUGUGACAUUUCUGCGAGAAUGCUUAAAUACCGAUUUCCCGCAGGAACAAUGGCGCUGUCUUCAGUGGCACAGUGGAGCAGCUCUGAAGAUGCAAAGAUACACGAAAAAACUUCCAGAACAUCUGGGAGAAUAUUUAAUGGAAAAUCGCUUGGUUAAAACCUGACACUUUUAACAGUUAGUUGAAUCCAUGGACAUGAAACCCACAGAUAUAGAGGGUUGGCCCGGUGCAGUGGCUCACGCCUGUAAUCCCAGCACUUUGGGAGGCCAAGGCGGGUGGAUCACCUGAGGUCAGAAGCUUGAGACCAGCCUGGCCAACAUGGUAAAACCCCAUCUCUACUAAUAAUACAAAACAAUUUGCUGGGCAUGGUGGUGCACGCUUGUAAUCCAAGCUACUCCAGAGGCUGAGGCAGAAGAAUCGCUUGAAUCCGAGAGGCAAAGGUUGCAGUGAGCCCAGAUCACACCACUGCUCUCCAACCUGGGCAACAAGAGCAAAACUCCGUCAAAAAAAAAAGAUACAGGGUCAACUGUACACAUUAAACACUUCUAUCAACUAGUGAUGUCAGUCUUGUCCAUUGUAUUAUUGCCUAUCUUACUAAACAGUCAUAUUUCAGGAAGUACAAUAUACUCAAAAACUAAGUUAAUGUUCUUUGUAGAUUUAUGGUUAAUGGAUGAUUCAUAUAA
RNAcentral lists this long non-coding RNA (886 nucleotides) under Homo sapiens (human). Its description in RNAcentral is "non-protein coding SNHG5:17". The record is from RNAcentral. Lineage: Eukaryota; Metazoa; Chordata; Mammalia; Primates; Hominidae.